ACACAUGACACCAGCAAUGUUUUUAUUUGAUUGGUCACAUGUUGCGGGAACAUAUUUGUCUCGGACUUUACAUUGAUCAAGACUUUUUUCAUAACCUUUACAAUUAACGGAUGGGAAAAUUGGUAAACUUUGAUUACUGGUAAACUCUCCAAUUGAAGCAAACUGGCCAUAACCAAGACCCAAAGAGCGACAAACAACCAUUGCUUCCAAUAAAGACCAACCAUUACCACAAACAGUGUACCAAAUCACACCAGCGGCUUCAAUGGUCACACAAUCAUGGAUUUUCCAGCCAUCAAACUGACAUUGAUCUAUUCUAGUUUCGUUUCCAUUACAGUAUAAAUUGUCCAUCCAUAUUAACUCUAUAUUAAGAUAAGUGACGGUUUUAGUUUCAUUAAAACUCUAAUCUUAAAAUGGCUAAUUAUACUUACUUCGUCCUUUGCCAAAUUGUGAGUUGCUGGUUGGAAUGGCGGCAUGUUUAGAGUAACCGAGACUCGUACAAAUUACUGAAGCCUCUUUCUCAUCCCAUUCAUCGUCACAAAUUGAUCCCCACCGACCAAGAUGAUAAAUUUCAACAUUACCUUCAUGUUGACUUGAUCCACCGACCAACCUAACUCGACCCUCACUGAUUGUAGCUCUCCUUCUUGAGCCUUGAUUACGACGACGAUGACGGCCUGCCAAGUUGUACAAAUAUUGGCAAGAGACGAUUGAAGUCAGGUAAAUUGUGAGGAUAAAACAACAAGCUGUGUGAUAAUUUAAAUUCAUGAUAGCGUUAAAGUCAACAAUAUUUACAAGACUGACUAACUGUCUAACGAUUGAAGACAAAAAAAGUGAUGAAGCAAAAAAUGACCCACAAAAAUUGCAGAUUGAAUAACAUCAAUCUAUAACAAUUUAGCUUACUCCCGAUCACCUAAUUCGAUCCGCUUUUACUAUCUUUGGAAAGAUGAUUUUUUAUCUAUGAGUGUUUUAAAUUUCUUUGAGAAUAAGUCUGAUGUUAGAAUAAUUACUCAUAAUUCAGGAUUUUAGGUCAGAAUGAAUUGAAGGCAAGGUCUCAGACUGUGUUGCUAAUGAUGUUUUUAAGUGAAAAUAAAGUUGUUUGCGAAAAU
Long non-coding RNA from Tetranychus urticae (two-spotted spider mite), 1103 nucleotides. RefSeq lists it as uncharacterized. Lineage: Eukaryota; Metazoa; Arthropoda; Arachnida; Trombidiformes; Tetranychidae. The record is from RefSeq and is a predicted model, not a curated record.